RNAcentral lists this unclassified non-coding RNA (327 nucleotides) under uncultured fungus. Its description in RNAcentral is "sequence contains ITS2". Lineage: Eukaryota; Fungi. The record is from RNAcentral.
AACGCAUCUCGCGCUCCUUGGUAUUCCUUGGAGCAUGCCUGUUUGAGUGUCUUUUAAACUUCUCCAUCCUAGCGGCGGUCGUCUUGGACGUCGCCGCUCGGGAUGGGAUCGUGGAGGUUGUCGGCGCGCGCCCCUGGCGAGAGCCGUCCUUCGAAAUCCAGUCGAGCACGUCCUAUCUCUUGCGUGAUCGUAUUCUGACGUUGUAAUCGCUUUUGCGUUCCUCGUUGGGUCUCGAUCUGUAAGUGGCGGCUACAUAAUCAUCGACACGUCUCUACGAGUCCAGCGAUUUUGGACCUCAAAUCAGGUAGGAUUACCCGCUGAACUUAA